CAGCCGCUUCAUAUAUUUUUUUUUCUUUUUUGACUUCUUUUUUAAUUUGCAUAUAUACAUAUUUUUAAAUUCUCUUAAUGUUUUGAGUGUGUACCUAAAAAUGUAAACUAUAAAACAAUAUAGUUUGUAUAUUUACAGAUGCAGCAAUAUUACUUUUGUGCUACACACAGUCAUGACGAAGCCCAAAGCAAGAAGCUGCCCCUAUUGUGGAGCAAGCAUCAUGCCAAUCAGAAGACCUGUGCCAGCUGCUGUGUUUGCCUCCUGCAAAAAAAGUCAUUCAAAGAAAAAGAAAAGGCAGUGAGUAUUGACUUUGAUGUGUUGUGUGUGUGCAUCCAUUGUAUUCAUUAAAGGUUGUUGAACAUAAUGCCGCCUCUUUAUAUGAGCCACCCCUAACCUUAAAUUUAGCUAAAGAUUCAAAAUGAGUUGGCUCAUUAUUGACAUAUGGGCUUGUGGUCCAAAUAGCAUUUUUUUCUGAUCAAUAGCACAUUUUUCACCAAUGAGGAGAGAGCUAGGCCCGGUUCCAGAACCAAAUGACUUCAGGUGCAUCUCAAAUUAGUGGUGGUACCCUAGUAGUUACAGUGCGAGCUGCCAACAGCUAUUAAAGUAGAAUAGUGUAUGAUGAUCCAGAGUUGGGUCCCAGAUAAACAGAUUAUGCUGAACACAGACGAAUAAAGUUGUAGACAGCAGUAAGUUAAACAGGGUGUCAGUCAUUUUCAGCAACAGUUUGCUUUACGAGUCAGAAGGACACCCAUACCCUCAAACUCCAGUCCUCAGAGGAAUCAUGGCUAAAUACUGUGACCAGUGCAGUGCAAACACAUUUGUAUAUCAUUAAUUACUAAACUAUGUGUCCAUGUAUGAGGUGGGAUACAUUAGAAUUCCAAAUAAAACAGUCUUUGUUAUAAUCAUAUAAUCAAUCAGUUUAUAUAUUAUUAUAUUAACUAUUUAUGGGAAAAUCAUACUUCAUUUGUCAUUGGCUGCAGAUUCGUGAGGAGCUGUGUUCAUGUUGUGACUCUCUGAACCAUCCAGACAUUUCCUGAGACGAAGAUUUCUAUUUGUUGAGCUGUUGCUAUCAUGUUUAACUGAUUAGCUCAGUUGUUUCAGAGCUAUGAGACCAGUGAUGUGACAAUUAAUCACCACACCCGCUGACCUUUAUUAAUCUUCAUCCAACUCUUUUGCUGAUUGAGCUGCUGGUGAGCAUGAAGACGCCCACGCAGUCCAUGUGCCAGACCACCUUAUGCUUGGCAUUAAUAUGCAAUUUGAACUGAAAGUGCAAAAUAUUAAACUGAGGGUGCAAUGCAUGUGUUUGCAUCUCCGAAGAACUAAACCAAAAAGAAAUGGAGGGAAAACUUGUUUUGGCCAUGUCUGUCUCCUGAGCUUUAUGAUAUUUCAGACAGAAACUAUAAUAACAGAGACAGUGAACUCUCUGUUAACAUAGCAUUUGUUUCUCUCAAUGCACAAGUGCUUCAUCCCAGCGCUCCACUGAACCCUGUCCACAAUUUUCUGUCUGAAAGAAUGUUAUAUGUACACACACCUACAGUUCAUUAGAAAACUCUCAAGAAACCCUUGAAAAAGAUUAUAGACAUUAGCAA
This is a long non-coding RNA of Dicentrarchus labrax (European seabass), 1589 nucleotides long. NCBI's taxonomy places the organism in Eukaryota, Metazoa, Chordata, Actinopteri, Moronidae. The record is from Ensembl.